UUUCCCAUGCGUAUAUGGUUUAAUUAUUUGGCAAUUGAACCUUAGGUGUCGAAAGGAUCUGAUGCUGAGAUACUCGGAAUCCAAGAAGGUGAUCUUAUUGAAUGUAUGAAUGGAAAAUGCAUUUCUACCACAAUUGAGUUGGAAAAUACGUUGAUGAGCCUAUGUAAAGGCCUUUCAGACAGUCAAAAUGGCCAUAAUGCUGAAGUUUGUAUUUCUAUUGGGGUUUUUCACACACUCAAAAAAUACCGAAGUACCAGAGAGUUGACUGCGAAUGUAUCAGACCUUGGAGAAGUUAUUGCAAGAGGUACACGUCUCCUCUUUUAACUAGUUCCAUCUACAAAUUAUCUAGAUUAUCACUUCAUUCUCAAGUA
This is a long non-coding RNA of Triticum aestivum (bread wheat), 371 nucleotides long. RefSeq lists it as uncharacterized. The transcript is spliced from 3 exons. Lineage: Eukaryota; Viridiplantae; Streptophyta; Magnoliopsida; Poales; Poaceae. The record is from RefSeq and is a predicted model, not a curated record.